UCUCGGCCCAGAGGACGGCAACGAAGCCGCGA
RNAcentral lists this small RNA (32 nucleotides) under Bombyx mori (domestic silkworm). RNAcentral's name for it is "ovarian small RNA-7743". Lineage: Eukaryota; Metazoa; Arthropoda; Insecta; Lepidoptera; Bombycidae. The record is from RNAcentral.